GACGAACGCUGGCGGCGUGCUUAACACAUGCAAGUCGAACGGAAAGGCCCUGCUUUUGUGGGGUGCUCGAGUGGCGAACGGGUGAGUAACACGUGAGUAACCUGCCCUUGACUUUGGGAUAACUUCAGGAAACUGGGGCUAAUACCGGAUAGGAGCUCCUGCUGCAUGGUGGGGGUUGGAAAGUUUCGGCGGUUGGGGAUGGACUCGCGGCUUAUCAGCUUGUUGGUGGGGUAGUGGCUUACCAAGGCUUUGACGGGUAGCCGGCCUGGGAGGGUGACCGGCCACAUGGGGACUGAGAUACGGCCCAGACGCCUACGGGAGGCAGCAGUGGGGAAUAUUGCACAAUGGGCGGAAGCCUGAUGCAGCAACGCCGCGUGCGGGAUGACGGCCUUCGGGUUGUAAACCGCUUUCGCCUGUGACGAAGCGUGAGUGACGGUAAUGGGUAAAGAAGCACCGGCUAACUACGU
RNAcentral lists this ribosomal RNA (467 nucleotides) under uncultured bacterium. RNAcentral describes it as "partial 16S ribosomal RNA". It matches the Rfam family "Bacterial small subunit ribosomal RNA", at positions 28 to 506 of the family's 1533-position model. The record is from RNAcentral.